This 468-nucleotide ribosomal RNA is filed under the name uncultured bacterium. RNAcentral's name for it is "partial 16S ribosomal RNA". It matches the Rfam family "Bacterial small subunit ribosomal RNA", at positions 28 to 507 of the family's 1533-position model. The record is from RNAcentral.
GACGAACGCUGGCGGCGUGCUUAACACAUGCAAGUCGAACGGAAAGGCCCUGCUUUUGUGGGGUGCUCGAGUGGCGAACGGGUGAGUAACACGUGAGUAACCUGCCCUUGACUUUGGGAUAACUUCAGGAAACUGGGGCUAAUACCGGAUAGGAGCUCCUGCUGCAUGGUGGGGGUUGGAAAGUUUCGGCGGUUGGGGAUGGACUCGCGGCUUAUCAGCUUGUUGGUGGGGUAGUGGCUUACCAAGGCUUUGACGGGUAGCCGGCCUGAGAGGGUGACCGGCCACAUUGGGACUGAGAUACGGACCAGACUCCUACGGGACGCAGCAGUGGGGAAUAUUGCACAAUGGGCGGAAGCCUGAUGCAGCAACGCCGCGUGCGGGAUGACGGCUUUCGGGUUGCAAACCUCUUUCGCCUGUGACGAAGCGUGAGUGACGGUAAUGGGUAAAGAAGCACCGGCUAACUACGUG